AGGGUGUAAACGCUGCAGACUUGGUGUUGGAGGCCCUUUGGGGGCAUUCAGUGCCGGAGAGAAGUUGUUAAGUCUGCUACUUGGGGAGUACGUCCGCAAGGAUGAAACUUAAAGGAAUUGGCGGGGGAGGCACCGCAACGGGAAGAGCGUGCGGUUUAAUUGGAUUCAACACCGUAAAACUCACCAGGGAAGACUGUUACAUGAAGGCCGAGAUGAAGACUCUGCUAGAUUUUCAGAGAGGUGGUGCAUGGCGUCAGUG
RNAcentral lists this ribosomal RNA (259 nucleotides) under uncultured archaeon. RNAcentral describes it as "partial 16S ribosomal RNA". It matches the Rfam family "Archaeal small subunit ribosomal RNA", at positions 748 to 1005 of the family's 1478-position model. The record is from RNAcentral.